UGACACAAAUGGCAGAGCACAGGAACA
RNAcentral lists this non-coding RNA (27 nucleotides) under Mus musculus (house mouse). The record is from RNAcentral. Lineage: Eukaryota; Metazoa; Chordata; Mammalia; Rodentia; Muridae.